AACGAACGCUGGCGGCAGGCUUAACACAUGCAAGUCGAACGCAUCGCAAGAUGAGUGGCAGACGGGUGAGUAACGCGUGGGAACAUACCCUUUUCUACGGAAUAGCUCUGGGAAACUGGAAUUAAUCCCGUAUACGCCCUUUACUGGUGGACAGUUUAGGGGAAAGAUUUGUCGGGGUAGGAUUGGCCCGCGUUGGAUUAGCUAGUUGGUGGGGUAACGGCCUACCAAGGCGACGAUCCGUAGCUGGUCUGCGAGGAUGAUCAGCCACAUUGGGACUGAGACACGGCCCAAACUCCUACGGGAGGCAGCAGUGGGGAAUAUUGGACAAUGGGCGCAAGCCUGAUCCAGCCAUGCCGCGUGAGUGAUGAAGGCCUUAGGGUUGUAAAGCUCUUUCACCGAUGAAGAUAAUGACGGUAGUCGGAGAAGAAGCCCCGGCUAACUUCGUGCCAGCCGCCGCCGUAA
This 462-nucleotide ribosomal RNA is filed under the name uncultured bacterium. RNAcentral describes it as "partial 16S ribosomal RNA". It matches the Rfam family "Bacterial small subunit ribosomal RNA", at positions 29 to 523 of the family's 1533-position model. The record is from RNAcentral.